CUACGGGGGGCACCAGUGAGGAAUAUUGCACAAUGGGGGGAACCCUGAUGCAGCAACGCCGCGUGGAGGAUGACGCAUUUCGGUGUGUAAACUCCUUUUAUAUGUCAAGAAAAUGACGGUAGCAUAUGAAUAAGCACCGGCUAACUCCGUGCCAGCAGCCGCGGUAAUACGGAGGGUGCAAGCGUUACUCGGAAUCACUGGGCGUAAAGGACGCGUAGGCGGGUUGGAAAGUCAGGUGUGAAAUCCUACAGCUUAACUGUAGAACUGCACUUGAAACUUCUAAUCUAGAGUAUGGGAGGGGGAGAUGGAAUUAGUGGUGUAGGGGUAAAAUCCGCAGAUAUCACUAGGAAUACCUAAAACGAAGGCGAUCUCCUGGAACAUUACUGACGCUAAGGCGUGAAAGCGUGGGGAGCAAACAGGAUUAGAUACCCCAGUAGUC
This 439-nucleotide ribosomal RNA is filed under the name uncultured bacterium. RNAcentral describes it as "partial 16S ribosomal RNA". It matches the Rfam family "Bacterial small subunit ribosomal RNA", at positions 339 to 795 of the family's 1533-position model. The record is from RNAcentral.